UCCUGGUUAACCCAGGCAGUCUCACUAGAGUUCCCACCUUCACGUGUUGGCAACUAAUGAUAAGGGUUGCGCUCGUUGCGGGACUUAACCCAACACCUCACGGCACGAGCUGACGACAGCCAUGCAGCACCUGUACAGAGGUCCCGAAGGAACAUCCUAUUUCUAGAAUUUGCCUCUGCAUGUCAAGCCUGGGUAAGGUUCUUCGCGUUGCAUCGAAUUAAACCACAUGCUCCACUGCUUGUGCGGGUCCCCGUCAAUUCUUUUGAGUUUCAGCCUUGCGACUGUACUCCCCAGGCGGUAUACUUAACGCGUUAGCUCCGGCACCACUAGGGUUGAGUCCAGUGACACCAAGUAUACAUCGUUUACGGCAAGGACUAC
RNAcentral lists this unclassified non-coding RNA (378 nucleotides) under uncultured Parachlamydiaceae bacterium. RNAcentral describes it as "contains 16S-23S intergenic spacer region". Lineage: Bacteria; Pseudomonadati; Chlamydiota; Chlamydiia; Parachlamydiales; Parachlamydiaceae. The record is from RNAcentral.